RNAcentral lists this ribosomal RNA (415 nucleotides) under bacterium. RNAcentral describes it as "partial 23S ribosomal RNA". It matches the Rfam family "Bacterial large subunit ribosomal RNA", at positions 2497 to 2925 of the family's 2925-position model. The record is from RNAcentral.
CGUCCAUAGCGGCGGGGAGGUUUGGCACCUCGAUGUCGGCUCAUCGCAUCCUGGGGCUGGAGAAGGUCCCAAGGGUUCGGCUGUUCGCCGAUGAAAGCGUUACGUGAGCUGGGUUCAGACCGUCGUGAGACAGGUCGGUCCCUAUCUGUCGUGGGCGUUGGAAAACUGAAGGGGUUUCUUCUUUAGUACGAGAGGAUUUGGAAGGACGGACCUCUUGUGUCCCUGUUGUCUCGCUAGAGGCAGCGCAGGGUAGCGAAGUCCGGGCCGGAUAAGCGCUGAAGGCAUAUAAGCGCGAAACCAUCCCUGAGAAAAGUUUUCCUUGAGACCCCUCGUAGACUACGAGGUUGAUAGGCUGGGUGUGUAAGGCGUGUAAGCGUCUCAGCUAACCAGUACUAACGGUCGAAAGCUUGACCAC